AUAUCAAGAAACUUAUUCUUUGGCCUUUCACAUUUAGAUCUGUAGUCCACCUGAAAUUGGUGUAUGUUUAUGGAUAUCCCGUUGACCCAGAACCACUUAUUAAGAAGAUUGUCCUUUCUCCUACGGCUCAGCAUGCCACUUUUGUCAUAAAUCAAGUGUCCAUUAAUGUGUGGGUCUGUUCUUUGACUCUAUGUUGUUCCAUUGGUCUACUUGCCUAUUCUUGUACCAUUACUAUUCUGUCUUAAUUAUUGUAGCUUUAUAAUAAAUCUUUUUAUCUGAUAGAUUGUCUUCCAACUUGCUUCUUCUUUAAGUGUCUGUAGCAUUGUUGGCCUCUUACAUUUCUAUAUACAUUUUAGAAUCAGCUUAUGAAUGUUCCCAAAAAACAUGCUGGGAUUUUCAAUACAUUGGUGAAUGCAUGAAUCAAUAUAUCGAUUUAGGGAACAUUUUUACAUCUUUUAACUAUCUAAACCAAAUAUUCAGGAGAAUACAUAAUGAGAAAGCUUCCCCAAACACAGUCUGGAAAAUAAAUUUUCCUGGGUAGGGGGAAAACAAUGACAGCUUCAAGGGCAACAAUUUAGUGUGGGCAUUGGUGGGCUCCAGAGAAAGUGGUCUUGUCCCCAUACCACAAGCUAAGCCCUGGGAAGACCAUAAGAUGCCCAAGUAGGGUGUGGAACAUGAGGGUGUGAGCAGCGAUGAAAUUUGUGUUUUCCUGUAGAUCCCUGAGGAAGUUGCAAGACCCUAAUGAAGAAGCGGCUGUAUCAUAUCACCUGCCAGAUGGGGCUUAGGCAGCCUCCCAGAGCUUCCUACACCGAAGAAUCACACAGGAGCAGCAGAGCCAUCCCUGAGUGCCCAUGGGUAGCAUAGUAGCGGGAGAAGGAAACACAAGCUCUUGAAUUGCUCACUGAGCACAGGGUUGAGCAUGGGGUGCCCUGGCAGUUGCCUGCCUAACCAGAUGACAUGACAUCCCAUCCACUGUGCCUCGACACCAGAUGCUACCAAAUAACCUAACAAUACCGGCAAUUGCUCUGUCCCACCAAAAUUUGGAUGUUUCAAAAUUGCCUUCAGAAGAACAAUCUACUUAAUUGAAAAACUGUAGAGACAAAGUCAACCAAGUGCCUGUCAAUGGAUCCCAGUCUCUGAACUCAUUAUCCAGAACCUGUAGCCAGUAACAGUCACUUAGCCCAGGCCCAGACCAGCUGAACUGCAGAGAUGCAAGUGCCAAAAAGCCAAUCUCUCCCUGCUUUUCUCAUCUGCCUCCCAGAAUCUGAUGUCUUGCUGAGUAGCUGGCCAGGUGUCCCCAUUCUUAGUGACUUGGAGGAGGUGGGAGACUUGGCAAAGCAGCAGGAAUACACACACACCCCUCACCUCUGUCCUCUGCAAUCCCCUGAAAAACAGGCUCGUCUGCUUUAACUGGAAUCACAAACUUUUAAGUUCUAGAAUGAAGUAGCAGAUGUUUAUGUGAAACGAUCCUAUUUCUCUAAUAUUCACUCAGCAAGUAGUUGUCAAGAUGGGGUUUACAUAUUGAAAUCCAUGGAUGGGAGGAUUGGCAAGAACUUUGAACAAUGGGGUCAAUGAGAUGCUGAGGAGAAGCCCUGCCUAGGGGAAGAAAAUGAGGCGAUGGGGACACCAGUGGCUCCUGGCACCUGGAUGAACGGAAACCAGAGGCUUCAAAUACAUUAACCAGAGCAGAAAUGGAACCAAACAAGAAAACACAUGAAGGUGGAAAGAACAGAAAGGGACAAACUAUUUUCUUAGUGAAAAUGGGAAAGUUACACACCUCCUCCUCCCAAACAUGAUGAUGUUCUGUUUUGUUAACCUCUUUGAGAAGGUGACUGGAUACAGAAAUAUGGUCUAGCCUAUC
Molecule: long non-coding RNA, 1861 nt
Filed under: Homo sapiens (human)
Lineage: Eukaryota; Metazoa; Chordata; Mammalia; Primates; Hominidae
Description: HSALNT0141111
Source: RNAcentral